This is a long non-coding RNA of Triticum aestivum (bread wheat), 331 nucleotides long. RefSeq lists it as uncharacterized. The record is from RefSeq and is a predicted model, not a curated record. The transcript is spliced from 3 exons. Lineage: Eukaryota; Viridiplantae; Streptophyta; Magnoliopsida; Poales; Poaceae.
GGUGGAGCGCCUUUCUCGGCAGCGGCUAUUGCGAAAUCUCGAUUGGAUAGGAGCGCGGGGGCUGAAUGAGAUGGAGCGAGGAGACAGUGCUUCAAAUCGGGGAGGUUCAGGUUCUGCCACCACAUUCGCAAUUAUAGUGGAAUUUUUUCCCUGUAAAGCCAAGCUCAGUGAUGGCAGUGUCCAAGACAUUGAUAGAGAUACCACCGUGAGGUUGGAUGUCGAAUUUGCAGAUGUUGAUCCCCAGGAAUUGGAGAGCAUGAAGGAGAAGGCCGUGGGCAAUUUGGUGGAGAGAAUUGGGGAGAGUAUUGUUUGGGGUCCAGAACAACAGGUG